RNAcentral lists this ribosomal RNA (408 nucleotides) under uncultured Phoma. RNAcentral's name for it is "eukaryotic LSU rRNA". The stretch from base 104 to 257 matches the Rfam family "5.8S ribosomal RNA". The record is from RNAcentral. Lineage: Eukaryota; Fungi; Ascomycota.
GUCUUUUGAGUACCUUCGUUUCCUCGGCGGGUCCGCCCGCCGAUUGGACAACAUUUAAACCCUUUGUAGUUGCAAUCAGCGUCUGAAAAAACUUAAUAGUUACAACUUUCAACAACGGAUCUCUUGGUUCUGGCAUCGAUGAAGAACGCAGCGAAAUGCGAUAAGUAGUGUGAAUUGCAGAAUUCAGUGAAUCAUCGAAUCUUUGAACGCACAUUGCGCCCCUUGGUAUUCCAUGGGGCAUGCCUGUUCGAGCGUCAUUUGUACCUUCAAGCUCUGCUUGGUGUUGGGUGUUUGUCUCGCCUCUGCGUGUAGACUCGCCUUAAAACAAUUGGCAGCCGGCGUAUUGAUUUCGGAGCGCAGUACAUCUCGCGCUUUGCACUCAUAACGACGACGUCCAAAAGUACAUUU